Molecule: ribosomal RNA, 671 nt
Filed under: Taraxacum mongolicum
Lineage: Eukaryota; Viridiplantae; Streptophyta; Magnoliopsida; Asterales; Asteraceae
Description: eukaryotic LSU rRNA
Rfam family: 5.8S ribosomal RNA (bases 268-423)
Source: RNAcentral
GGAUCAUUGUCGAACCCUGCAAGGCAGAACGACCUGUGAACACGUAAAUACAACUGGGUGAUGGGGAGAUGGAUCUUGGUUCUGAUCCUCAACACCUCCUAGCGUGCCUGCAUGCUUUCUCUUUUGGGCUAUCAUGCAUGUAUUGUUGGAAUUUAACAAAACCCCGGCACGGCAUGUGCCAAGGAAAACAAUAAACGAGAAGGACUCGACCUGUUAUGCCCCGUUUGUGGUGUGCAUUCUGAGCGUGUCCUCCUUUGAAUCACAAACGACUCUCGGCAACGGAUAUCUCGGCUCACGCAUCGAUGAAGAACGUAGCAAAAUGCGAUACUUGGUGUGAAUUGCAGAAUCCCGUGAACCAUCGAGUUUUUGAACGCAAGUUGCGCCCGAAGCCAUCCGGUUUAGGGCACGCCUGCCUGGGCGUCACGCAUCGCGUCGCCCCCCAUCAUACUUCCCUUAAGGGUAGUCGUGGUGAUUGGGAGCGGAGAUUGGCUUCCCGUGCUUGUUGUGCGGUUGGUCAAAAUAGGAGUCCCCUUCGGUGGACACACGGCUAGUGGUGGUUGUAAAGACCCUUUUCUUCUGCUGUGUGUUGUGAGCUGCUAGGGAAACCCUCAAAAAAGAACCCAAUGUAUCGUUCUAGGACGAUGCUUCGACCGCGACCCCAGGUCAGGCGG